GUGAUGGGAGCUAUGAGCAGUGCAGCCAUGUUGGAUUCAAGGGAUGCUGGGAUCUAUUCUCUCAUCACCUCUAUACCGUCCACGUUUUUGCCCUCAGGUCCUGUGCAGGUAUCUGCAAAUGAAGAUGCUGAUUCAGAGAAUCCAGGGGUCUACAGCCUGAUCACUUCUGUACCAUCCACAUCUGUACCACCAGUCUGAUACGUACCACGUAUACAGCUCAAUCCCCGACAGACCAGCAACCUCAGCCCAGCCAGAUGGGUUGUACAGUCUUCUGCAGACACACUGAAACUACACCACUGGCUCUCUGUAUGUCUCACAGAAAUACUCUUUCUUUCAGGAUGUCCUUUAUUUAUCACACAUCAUGUUACUGUAAAUAAGUAUCUAAUACAUCUACCGCAGUGCCGUUUCUAUCUAUAAGCAACA
Non-coding RNA from Salmo salar (Atlantic salmon), 423 nucleotides. Lineage: Eukaryota; Metazoa; Chordata; Actinopteri; Salmoniformes; Salmonidae. The record is from RefSeq and is a predicted model, not a curated record.